This 444-nucleotide ribosomal RNA is filed under the name uncultured bacterium. RNAcentral's name for it is "bacterial SSU rRNA". It matches the Rfam family "Bacterial small subunit ribosomal RNA", at positions 354 to 796 of the family's 1533-position model. The record is from RNAcentral.
GUGGGGGAUAUUGCACAAUGGGCGCAAGCCUGAUGCAGCGACGCCGCGUGGGGGAUGACGGCUUUCGGGUUGUAAACCUCUUUCGUCGGGGGACAAGGCUCUGCUUGGUGGUGGGGUUGAGGGUACCCGGUGAAGAAGCGCCGGCUAACUACGUGCCAGCAGCCGCGGUAAUACGUAGGGCGCGAGCGUUGUCCGGAAUUAUUGGGCGUAAAGGGCUCGUAGGCGGCUUGUCGCGUCUGCUGUGAAAAUGCGGGGCUUAACUCCGUACGUGCAGUGGGUACGGGCAGGCUAGAGUGCGGUAGGGGUGACUGGAAUUCCUGGUGUAGCGGUGGAAUGCGCAGAUAUCAGGAGGAACACCGAUGGCGAAGGCAGGUCACUGGGCUGUUACUGACGCUGAGGAGCGAAAGCGUGGGGAGCGAACAGGAUUAGAAACCCCAGUAGUCC